GAUGAACGCUAGCGAUAGGCUUAACACAUGCAAGUCGAGGGGCAGCAUGGUCUUAGCUUGCUAAGGCUGAUGGCGACCGGCGCACGGGUGCGUAACGCGUAUGCAACUUGCCUCACAGAGGGGGAUAACCCGUCGAAAGACGGACUAAUACCGCGUACACUCUAUGUUGGGCAUCCAAUGUAGAGGAAAUGAAAUUCGCUGUGAGAUAGGCAUGCGUCCCAUUAGCUAGUUGGUGAGGUAACGGCUCACCAAGGCGACGAUGGGUAGGGGAACUGAGAGGUUGAACCCCCACACUGGUACUGAGACACGGACCAGACUCCUACGGGAGGCAGCAGUGAGGAAUAUUGGUCAAUGGGCGAGAGCCUGAACCAGCCAAGUCGCGUGAAGGAUGACUGUCUUAUGGAUUGUAAACUUCUUUUAUACGGGAAUAACAAGAGUCACGUGUGGCUCCCUGCAUGUACCGUAUGAAUAAGCAGCGGCUAACUCCGUG
RNAcentral lists this ribosomal RNA (490 nucleotides) under uncultured bacterium. RNAcentral's name for it is "partial 16S ribosomal RNA". It matches the Rfam family "Bacterial small subunit ribosomal RNA", at positions 28 to 507 of the family's 1533-position model. The record is from RNAcentral.